Molecule: long non-coding RNA, 1751 nt
Filed under: Homo sapiens (human)
Lineage: Eukaryota; Metazoa; Chordata; Mammalia; Primates; Hominidae
Description: HSALNT0082548
Source: RNAcentral
GCGAUCAUCAGCAGUAUGAAGAGGAGCUGUGGGGCCAGUGAGAGAAGCUGCAGCCUGUUGAGACUCCACAAGACUGAAGAUAUGAAAAGAGGAAAUAUGCAUGAAUGCCCGCACGGAGAACCACCCCCACCUGCUGCUCCCGCUCUAAUGAUCACGCCCAUUAUCAACUGGGGGAUGGCUCUGUGCCUUGUCCUUGCAUUACAUGGACCAAGAACACUUCACAGGACUCAGAGAGGCAAAAAUAGAUACAAAAGAAGAAGGAAUUACAGAAGAAGUCACAUAACAUUAUUGCCUACAACUGACUGUUUACCUUGAAUACUUGAAGACCAGAAUGAAGAUUCUUGGGGUGAAGAAUUACAGCCUUAGCAUGGAGCAGGCCUCGGUGCAUCGGCUUUCAGCUAGGCAUGCCUGCCAAUGUUCAACGUCCUCCUGGGAUACGGAAGGCACCGUGAUAGACAUCUGGGCAAGUCAACAGGAAGGUGGAUAUCCAAAUCUCUCUCUUCGCAAUGAGUUUCCAGUUAGAUGGAGGAGAGAGUAAUAAAACACAGAGCUGAGAUUCCUGACUUCACAGAUCCCUGAGGAGAUGUUUACUAAAGGGAAUCUUCUGGUCACUGUUACCUUCCUCCGUACUUACCUGCCUCAUGGAGAACCCGAAAGGAAGAAGCUAUACGACUGGGGACACAUGUCUUAGAAGCACACUCAUUAGAUAAAGUGUCGCAUACUCUUUGAUAAGAGGUUGCUGAAGUCAAAAGCAGCUCACUCCCAGUUCACUGAGCUUGAGUUCCGGCUGCAACUUGGCCUUGAGAUUUUUGAAACGUUGAUAUGGAAGAUAAAGAAAAACGCAGAUUCCUGUCUUCUAAGGAACAAAGGCUGGAAGACAGUUCUGCAGAUUCUGCCUUUGAGGGAUUAGAGGGAUGUGCCCAGGACCAGAUCUUCAGUUAUGCAAAUAUACCUUAGAGACCACAGUAAGAAAGACAUCGCUCUGAAAUGCUCUGGUCCCAAGGAAAAUAUUGCUCUAUAUAAUAAUGGAAAACGUUGUCUGUGUAUCAUGCUGAGCUGCAUUUUAUUUUGUACCCUUGAGAGAGCUUUUAUUUUCUUAUAAAUAAGGAUUGGUCUUGUUCUGGGUCUGAAAACUGUUGUGUAUUUUUGAGAUGUCUAUUUUUCUUUUCAGUUGCCUGUAAGAGAUUGGGAGCCGAGGGCCUGAGGGUGAAGCCUCGUUUGUGCAGGUGACUGUGGGACUCUGGUGUAAGUAACGCUGGGCCCACCCUGGUAAUGAAGGAAGACCCAGGCCCAGGCAGGGGCGGUGUCACAGGCACAGGGGCUCGCACCCUGGGCACUGACGGUGGCUGUCGCACCAGGGCCGCUCCUUGCAGAAACCUCACUGAGCCUGUGCCUGUUGAGUAGCUUCAUGAGGAGCGGAUAUCAGGCAGAGAAAGCCCGGGCAAGAGAGUGACACACGGGGCUUCUGCCCAGAACACGUGCGCCCACAAUCCCGGGAGCUGUACAAAUCCCAAGCGGGGAAGCGGAGGCCUCGACAGUUCAUGAUGCGGACAUGAAUGGGAAUGCGGCCGCUUGCCACACCUCCUUCUUCAUUUGGGGAAAUGCUUGAAGGUUUGUUUUGUGAAUGCUAGGUUAAGGUUUGGAAGUUUAUUUUAAAAAUUGACAUCAUGGCCGGGCGCGGUGGCUCACGCCUGUGAUCCCAGCACUUUGGGAGGCCGAGGCGGGCGGAUCACGAGGUCAGGAGAUCGAGA